Long non-coding RNA from Rhinopithecus roxellana (golden snub-nosed monkey), 803 nucleotides. RefSeq lists it as uncharacterized. Lineage: Eukaryota; Metazoa; Chordata; Mammalia; Primates; Cercopithecidae. The record is from RefSeq and is a predicted model, not a curated record. The transcript is spliced from 3 exons.
UGUCCCUCCCAGCCUGUGAGCUUUUAGAAGGUAUUGCAACCCGGCACAGGAGGUGACACUUACAAAUAUUCAAGCAAGUCCUCGAAGUCUCAUGUAGGGGAAAGAUUAUGUGAUCUGGAGGUGAAGGAGUGGCCCUAACUGGCCCUAAACACUUCGGGUGCCCCUGGGCACGUGGUUUCAUGGCUCUGAGCCUCGAUUUCCUCUUCUGGGUCUUCCUCUGUCACCCAGGCUGCAGUGCGGUGGCGCAAUCAUGGCUCAUUGUAGCCUCAACCUCCUGAGAUCAAGGGAUCCUCCCACCUCAGCACCCCGAGUAGCUGGGACCACAGACGCAUACCACAGCAUCUGGCUAAUGUUUGUAUAUUUUGUAGACAGGGUUUCACCAUGUUGGCCAGGCUGAUCUCGAAAUCCUGGGCUCAAACGAUCCACCUGCCUCAGACUCCCAAAGUACUGGGAUUACAGGAGUGACCCACUGCGGCCGGCACCCCCUUUACCUCGGAACAAUCCGUCUCUUUCCUUGGGGGCCCCCCAUGAUCUAGACACCACCCACCUUGUUCUGUCUUGGCCAAAAUACCACCUAACUGCCCCCACCCAUGCCGGGUGCCCCUCCCCCACCCUCCUCUGCUCUUCGCUGAGUCCUACUUGGGUGGUGCCCAGGACAGUGAUAGUCCCAACCCUUCCAGCCCAUCUCCCCACAUCAGUACACUCCGGAGAGCCAACCAAGAGUAGAUUCUUUAUUCAUUUAUCUUUCUUUAUUAAAAAAAAAAAGUAUUCAUUUGGUAUAAAAAAUAAAUAUUUUAAAUAUG